GAUGAACGCUAGCGGCAGGCUUAACACAUGCAAGUCGAGGGGCAGCACGGGUAGCAAUACCUGGUGGCGACCGGCGCAAGGGUGCGUAACGCGUGAGCAACAUGCCCUAUACAGGGGGAUAAUCCAGGGAAACUUGGUCUAAUAUCCCAUAGUAUUUAGAGGAGGCAUCUUCUAUAAAUUAAAGCUUCGGUGGUAUAGGAUUGGCUCGCGUGACAUUAGCUAGAUGGUGAGGUAACGGCUCACCAUGGCAAUGAUGUCUAGGGGUUCUGAGAGGAAGGCCCCCCACACUGGGACUGAGACACGGCCCAGACUCCUACGGGAGGCAGCAGUGAGGAAUAUUGGACAAUGGAUGGAAAUCUGAUCCAGCCAUGCCGCGUGCAGGAAGACAGCCCUAUGGGUUGUAAACUGCUUUUAUAUGGGAGCAAUAAGGUCUACGUGUAGACUGAUGAGAGUACCAUAUGAAUAAGCAUC
Molecule: ribosomal RNA, 471 nt
Filed under: uncultured bacterium
Lineage: Bacteria
Description: bacterial SSU rRNA
Rfam family: Bacterial small subunit ribosomal RNA
Source: RNAcentral